UGACGGGUGGCGUUCGCGUCGUCCGCGCCUUCCGUUUUUCGAACCGGCGUCGAACGCGUGCACUUUUCCCCUAGUAGGACGUCGCGAUCCGUUGGGUGUCGGUCUAAGGCCUGCGGUGGAGCCCGUGUGGACGUUUCGGCGUUCUGCGCGGACCCGCGGUGUCCCGGCCGACUCGCUCGACGGUAUACAGAUGGCGCGGGGCCGCUACUCAGUUAGCGUUCGGCCUGCGGCAAGCGCGUUCGUUGUUUGACGGCGAUCGGACCUGGUGCCGGUCCUGUCCGCGAACGACUGUUGGCCGCGGUGUUCUCGAACAGACCUCGUUUGAAACGCCGAUCUGCGACGCUAUAGCUUUGGGUACUUUCAGGACCCGUCUUGAA
This 377-nucleotide ribosomal RNA is filed under the name Orsodacne cerasi. Its description in RNAcentral is "eukaryotic LSU rRNA". The record is from RNAcentral. Lineage: Eukaryota; Metazoa; Arthropoda; Insecta; Coleoptera; Orsodacnidae.